Molecule: ribosomal RNA, 402 nt
Filed under: Triticum aestivum (bread wheat)
Lineage: Eukaryota; Viridiplantae; Streptophyta; Magnoliopsida; Poales; Poaceae
Description: partial small subunit ribosomal RNA
Source: RNAcentral
AUGAUGGUCAUGGACCCCUACGGUGCCACCAUCAGCGCCACCCCCGAAGCGGCGACGCCGUUCCCUCACCGCAAGGGCGUCCUCUUCAACAUCCAGUACGUUAGCUACUGGUUCGCCGAAGCAGGCGGCGCGGCGGCGCUGCAGUGGAGCAAGGACAUGUACAAGUUCAUGGAGCCUUACGUGAGCAAGAACCCCAGGCAGGCAUACGCCAACUACAGGGACAUCGACCUCGGCAGGAACGAGGUGGUGAACGACAUCUCAACCUACAGCAGUGGCAAGAUCUGGGGUGAGAAAUACUUCAAGGGUAACUUUCAAAGGCUCGCCAUUACCAAGGGCAAGGUGGAUCCCCAGGACUACUUCAGGAACGAGCAGAGCAUCCCGCCGCUGGUGGGGAAGUACUGA